ACUCCUACGGGAGGCAGCAGUGGGGAAUAUUGCACAAUGGGCGCAAGCCUGAUGCAGCCAUGCCGCGUGUAUGAAGAAGGCCUUCGGGUUGUAAAGUACUUUCAGCAGUGAGGAAGGUGGGUAUGUUAAUAGCAUACUCAUUUGACGUUAGCUGCAGAAGAAGCACCGGCUAACUCCGUGCCAGCAGCCGCGGUAAUACGGAGGGUGCGAGCGUUAAUCGGAAUUACUGGGCGUAAAGCGCAUGCAGGUGGUUUGUUAAGUCAGAUGUGAAAGCCCGGGGGCUCAACCUCGGAAUUGCAUUUGAAACUGGCAAACUAGAGUACUGUAGAGGGGGGUAGAAUUUCAGGUGUAGCGGUGAAAUGCGUAGAGAUCUGAAGGAAUACCGGUGGCGAAGGCGGCCCCCUGGACAGAUACUGACACUCAGAUGCGAAAGCGUGGGGAGCAAACAGGAUUAGAUACCCCUGGUAGGCGUAG
This 474-nucleotide ribosomal RNA is filed under the name uncultured bacterium. Its description in RNAcentral is "bacterial SSU rRNA". It matches the Rfam family "Bacterial small subunit ribosomal RNA", at positions 335 to 799 of the family's 1533-position model. The record is from RNAcentral.